RNAcentral lists this unclassified non-coding RNA (168 nucleotides) under uncultured Ascomycota. RNAcentral's name for it is "sequence contains ITS2". Lineage: Eukaryota; Fungi; Ascomycota. The record is from RNAcentral.
CAAACCUCAAGCGUCUGCUUGCUGUUGGGGCAUUGCCGAUUCUCUCUGUAGGGAGAAGGCAAGCCCUGAAUUAUAGUGGCGGAGCUGCUGUAGACUCUGAGCGUAGUACUACUAUUCGCUUUUGGAAUCUAGGCGGUUACCUGCCAUAAAACCCACUAUAUUUUUCUU